Molecule: ribosomal RNA, 253 nt
Filed under: uncultured bacterium
Lineage: Bacteria
Description: partial 16S ribosomal RNA
Rfam family: Bacterial small subunit ribosomal RNA
Source: RNAcentral
UACAUAGACCUCAAGCGUUAUCCGGAAUCACUGGGCGUAAAGGGCGCGUAGGCGGCGUAACAAGUCACUUGUGAAAUCUCCGGGCUUAACUCGGAGCGGUCAAGUGAUACUGUUGUGCUAGAGUGCGGAAGGGGCUACUGGAAUUCUCGGUGUAGCGGUGAAAUGCGUAGAUAUCGAGAGGAACACCUGCGGCGAAGGCGGGUAGCUGGGCCGACACUGACGCUGAUGCGCGAAAGCCAGGGGAGCGAACGGG